Molecule: ribosomal RNA, 206 nt
Filed under: uncultured bacterium
Lineage: Bacteria
Description: partial 16S ribosomal RNA
Rfam family: Bacterial small subunit ribosomal RNA
Source: RNAcentral
UACGUAGGGUGCAAGCGUUAAUCGGAAUUACUGGGCGUAAGCGUGCGCAGGCGGUUAUGUAAGACAGAUGUGAAAUGCCCGGGCUUAACCUGGGAACUGCAUUUGUGACUGCAUGGCUAGAGUUUGGCAGAGGGGGGUAGAAUUCCACGUGUAGCAGUGAAAUGCGUAGAUAUGUGGAGGAAUACCGAUGGCGAAGGCGAGCCUCC